RNAcentral lists this ribosomal RNA (253 nucleotides) under uncultured bacterium. RNAcentral describes it as "partial 16S ribosomal RNA". It matches the Rfam family "Bacterial small subunit ribosomal RNA", at positions 524 to 776 of the family's 1533-position model. The record is from RNAcentral.
UACGUAGGGGGCAAGCGUUGUCCGGAAUCAUUGGGCGUAAAGAGCGUGUAGGCGGCCCGAUAAGUCCGCUGUGAAAGUCCAGGGCUCAACCCUGGAAUGCCGGUGGAUACUGCCGGGCUAGAGUCCGGAAGAGGCGAGUGGAAUUCCUGGUGUAGCGGUGAAAUGCGCAGAUAUCAGGAGGAACACCAAUGGCGAAGGCAGCUCGCUGGGACGUGACUGACGCUGAGGCGCGAAAGCGUGGGGAGCAAACAGG